This 390-nucleotide long non-coding RNA is filed under the name Numida meleagris (helmeted guineafowl). Its description in RNAcentral is "lncRNA (ENSNMEG00000020956.1)". The record is from RNAcentral. Lineage: Eukaryota; Metazoa; Chordata; Aves; Galliformes; Numididae.
GUUCAAGCAGGAUCAAUUCAUCUCACCUGCCUUCAGGGGCUCAAGCUCAGUAUACAAGACUACCAACAUCUUAGAUUCCCGAGCUACAAAGAGCAACGUAUCCAACUUCUUUACAAUGCAGAGUCCUUCCUUCAUGCCGAAGUAUGUGUAGUAGAUGUAAAAAGCUCUCUGGAAUACUUCUUAAGAGGAUAAAGACACAUCCAUUGUCAUGAAAUCUAUGAUUGGUGGACAGCAGUUUCCUACAUGAAUAAUGAAAUAAUGGCAGGAAGGUGUAUGGUCUUAAAUUCUACGUGCUACCUGCUGAAAACAGAAAUGAGCUUAGGUAUUUCUCUACAGAUCUUUUCAAUAAGAGUCUUUCUUUGGUCUUGUGCCCUUCGAAGUGCCAGCUGA